RNAcentral lists this ribosomal RNA (484 nucleotides) under uncultured bacterium. Its description in RNAcentral is "partial 16S ribosomal RNA". It matches the Rfam family "Bacterial small subunit ribosomal RNA", at positions 30 to 507 of the family's 1533-position model. The record is from RNAcentral.
AUUGAACGCUGGCGGCAGGCCUAACACAUGCAAGUCGAGCGGAUGAAGGGAGCUUGCUCCUGGAUUCAGCGGCGGACGGGUGAGUAAUGCCUAGGAAUCUGCCUGGUAGUGGGGGAUAACGUCCGGAAACGGGCGCUAAUACCGCAUACGUCCUGAGGGAGAAAGUGGGGGAUCUUCGGACCUCACGCUAUCAGAUGAGCCUAGGUCGGAUUAGCUAGUUGGUGGGGUAAAGGCCUACCAAGGCGACGAUCCGUAACUGGUCUGAGAGGAUGAUCACUCACACUGGAACUGAGACACGGUCCAGACUCCUACAGGAGGCAGCAGUGGGGAAUAUUGGACAAUGGGCGAAAGCCUGAUCCAGCCAUGCCGCGUGUGUGAAGAAGGUCUUCGGAUUGUAAAGCACUUUAAGUUGGGAGGAAGGGCAGUAAGUUAAUACCUUGCUGUUUUGACGUUACCAACAGAAUAAGCACCGGCUAACUUCGUG